RNAcentral lists this ribosomal RNA (329 nucleotides) under Culcua nigra. RNAcentral's name for it is "partial 12S ribosomal RNA". The record is from RNAcentral. Lineage: Eukaryota; Metazoa; Arthropoda; Insecta; Diptera; Stratiomyidae.
GAGUAGUAAUAGUUAGGGGCUUGAAACUUAAAGAAUUUGGCGGUAUUUUAAUCUAUUCAGAGGAACCUGUUCUGUAAUCGAUAAUCCACGAGGACUUUACUUAAAUUUGUAGUUCAAUUUGUAUACCGCUGUUAUAGAUUAUUUUAUAAGGAAAAUAAUUUUCUUAAUUUUUUAAAAAUAUAUCAAGUCAAGGUGCAGUUUAUAUUUAAGGAAGAAAUGGGUUACAAUAAAUUUAUUUAUACGAAUAGUAGAUUGAAAUAUUUACUUAAAGGUGGAUUUGAUAGUAAAUUUAUAAAUAUAGUUAAUUUGAUUUUAGCUCUAAAAUAUGU